UGGGGAAUAUUGGACAAUGGGCGCAAGCCUGAUCCAGCCAUGCCGCGUGAGUGAUGAAGGCCUUAGGGUUGUAAAGCUCUUUUGUCCGGGACGAUAAUGACGGUACCGGAAGAAUAAGCCCCGGCUAAGUUCGUGCCAGCAGCCGCGGUAAUACGAAGGGGGCUAGCGUUGCUCGGAAUCACUGGGCGUAAAGGGCGCGUAGGCGGCCGUUUAAGUCGGGGGUGAAAGCCUGUGGCUCAACCACAGAAUUGCCUUCGAUACUGGACGGCUUGAGUAUGGUAGAGGUUGGUGGAACUGCGAGUGUAGAGGUGAAAUUCGUAGAUAUUCGCAAGAACACCGGUGGCGAAGGCGGCCAACUGGACCAUUACUGACGCUGAGGCGCGAAAGCGUGGGGAGCAAACAGG
RNAcentral lists this ribosomal RNA (404 nucleotides) under Bacillota bacterium. Its description in RNAcentral is "Firmicutes bacterium partial 16S ribosomal RNA". It matches the Rfam family "Bacterial small subunit ribosomal RNA", at positions 355 to 776 of the family's 1533-position model. The record is from RNAcentral. Lineage: Bacteria; Bacillati; Bacillota.